Cyprinus carpio (common carp) is the source of this 1652-nucleotide long non-coding RNA. The record is from Ensembl. NCBI's taxonomy places the organism in Eukaryota, Metazoa, Chordata, Actinopteri, Cypriniformes, Cyprinidae.
GAACCUGUUUGACCUGUUUUGGGCCAGAUGAGGAAGAGAAGAGAAAGAAGAGGGGAGGAUCCUUAAAGUGUGCUCUUGAUUUUCUACCUUAAUCUCGGUCUACCUUUAAAUGAUUUAUGCCUUGUUUAUGUUUGUUUGUUUCACGUAAAUGUCUUAAAACUAAAUUGUAUAGAUAGGUUCCAGUUCCAUGCAUGUUAAGUGUAAUUUAGUUUUUAUCGUCUCGCGGUUAGGCACAAAGCUACUCUGUUUCAACCCGUGGACUUAAAGCUGGAGCUUCUCCAGUUUCAGCACUAUACUAUUAAAUACAAGCCUAGAUCAGGACUGCAGAAAGGUUAUAAGAAGAUAAAAAAAGACUGAUGUCAAAUCUGAGCUACACUGACACUCCACUGAUGAGUUCAGGUCAACUACUACACACUAUCCGGCAACAAUGGCUUCACCCAGACCCCGCCAUCGACGCGGAAGCAUGGAGCUGCCAACUAACAUGUUAUCUGAUGUUAUUCAUCUCACAGAUGAAUUAAAUAGACUUAAUGAGGACAUUUCCCUGGAAUGUCACAAGCAUAAAGAAAAAUUUUAUGAUGCCAUCAAUGAGUUUAAAAAUGGUUACAGAUUUGCUAUUUAUGCACUCAGAGGAGGACAAAUAACUGGAGGAAUCGCGAUGGUGUUGUCGGCAUUAUCAUUUUUUGUAAUUGAUGAUGAGGUUUCUGCAUUUUUUUCUGGAGCAGGGGCAGGUUUGGCUGUAGUUGCUGUAUUAUGUGCUGCUUUUGGACGAAACAGGAAAACACAGCAGGAAAAGAACUUAAAACAAUCUAUUGAAGAGAAACUUAAUGGAUUUCAGGAUAAAAUGAACCUUAUUAUUGACAUGAUGGAAAAAAUCUGUCAACGCACUGAGGAAAUAUUGAGAGACCCUUCACUAUCAGACCUCAAAACCCAGGCAUUAAGUGAACAUUUUGCCUACUGCUUUGAAAAGAGGCACGUCUUCCAGGAACAUGACAGGAGUAAAGUGGGUGACCAGAUGUCUAAAAUUGUGCAUUUGUCUGGAAACAUUUCAGAAAUGAUCGCCAAGAUUAGUUCUGUGCCUGAUAUCCUCAAAGAGAUUAUUGAAGACAACAAGAAGCACCGUGGAAAACCUGCAAAACCCAGACAAGAACUAAUAAAUAAAAGAGAGUUUAUGGAGAAAGCAGAGAAAUUCAUUAAUGAUAUGCAGAAAGGAAUAUGUGAGUUAAGAAAUGGAGUGAAAGCAAUCAGCCAAAAAACAGACAGUUUAUCAGAUAUUUUGAGUCGAACCUGACAAAAUGAAAAAGUAUGAACUGCUGAGACAAAACUUGUUACUGGAUCCACCUGACAGAGAACCACACAAACAGUGACCAAUUUUACAUUGCAGUAUUGACUAAUGUCAAUGUUUCAUUGUCCUACAACAAUGAAAUGUUCAUAUUGUCAAAAUAUACACAUAUAUAUAUAUAUAUAUAUGUGUGUGUGUGUGUGUGUGUGUGUGUGUGUGGAAAGUAAUACUUUGUAUGUAUGAUUGUUUUUGCUUUGUGUUAUUGAUCAGAAGAAGAUGAUUUUAUUUUGUGCUUAUUAUGUGCUUUAUAUUAAUCACUUUUCAUAACAAAACACGUAAUAAAAUGUACAGACAAAAAUAUAUUGGAUUUUCU